Molecule: ribosomal RNA, 392 nt
Filed under: Shouchella clausii
Lineage: Bacteria; Bacillati; Bacillota; Bacilli; Caryophanales; Bacillaceae
Description: bacterial SSU rRNA
Rfam family: Bacterial small subunit ribosomal RNA
Source: RNAcentral
CGGACGUUAGCCGCGGACGGGUGAGUAACACGUGGGCAACCUGCCCCAUAGACUGGGACAACUCCGGGAAACCGGAGCUAAUACCGGAUAAUCCCUUUCUCCACCUGGAGAGAGGGUGAAAGAUGGCUUCGGCUAUCACUAGGGGAUGGGCCCGCGGCGCAUUAGCUAGUUGGUAAGGUAACGGCUUACCAAGGCAACGAUGCGUAGCCGACCUGAGAGGGUGAUCGGCCACACUGGGAUUGAGACACGGCCCAGACUCCUACGGGAGGCAGCAGUAGGGAAUCUUCCGCAAUGGACGAAAGUCUGACGGAGCAACGCCGCGUGAGUGAGGAAGGCCUUCGGGUCGUAAAGCUCUGUUGUGAGGGAAGAAGCGGUACCGUUCGAAUAGGGCG